UACGUAGGGGGCGAGCGUUAAUCGGAAUUACUGGGCGUAAAGCGUGCGCAGGCGGCUCAUUAAGACAGGCGUGAAAUCCCCGGGCUUAACCUGGGAACUGCGCUUGUGACUGGUGGGCUGGAGUGUGUCAGAGGGAGGUGGAAUUCCACGUGUAGCAGUGAAAUGCGUAGAGAUGUGGAGGAACACCGAUGGCGAAGGCAGCCUCCUGGGACAACACUGACGCUCAUGCACGAAAGCGUGGGGAGCAAACAGG
Molecule: ribosomal RNA, 253 nt
Filed under: uncultured bacterium
Lineage: Bacteria
Description: partial 16S ribosomal RNA
Rfam family: Bacterial small subunit ribosomal RNA
Source: RNAcentral